Molecule: long non-coding RNA, 6087 nt
Organism: Lolium rigidum
Lineage: Eukaryota; Viridiplantae; Streptophyta; Magnoliopsida; Poales; Poaceae
Exons: 3
Source: RefSeq, a predicted model, not a curated record
CUAUCCUUCCUCGCGGUUACCUUCCCCGCGCCUAGGUUAUAGUUCUGGGCGGUGGCGCCUAGGUUAUGUCUAGGUUUAGCAUUAGGCGAAACCACCAGAGUUCGGUUAGUGAUUGACUGCAACCUAAUUAUCCUGGGAAUGAGGCUCUCUUGCUUCCGCAGUUUAAGUUAGUGUGUGUUGGUGAUUCUGCGGAGAACAAGAGGAGAUCUGAUUUGUAAGCAGUAGGCACCUCUGGUAAAGAAUUUAAUAACAGGUGGUAUUAAAUAAACACAUGUUUGCUCAAUCCAAUCAUACGUACUAGACACGUGUGGCGGCAUUAUGCGUAAUUGAGUUGUUAUUUGCUGUCACCUGCUUGGCUUCACCAUGCAAGGUCGCAUCGUGUCUCUAUGUGCCUGCGUUGCGGUGAUCUACAUCGGAACUGUUUUAUACUUGGCAUAUAUUGAUAUACUUUAACCGUAUUCACCAACAAUAACAGCUCAAUUAUCAUAUGGGCCAUUUCCCUGAACAAUAUUAGGUGUCUUGAAGUAUCCAUCCUGUUUUUCUCAGGCUUGUAGAGUAUACAUGCUUGAAUUGCAUAUGAAAAAAACAGGUGUUAUUGUUGGUGAAUACGGUUAGAGUAUAUGUGGAUGAGAAGAAACUAAAACAACUUUUAUCAUACUGCAUUGAAGUUGUGUUUCCAUGUUAACGGCAUGAGCCUUUUCUUUCUUGCUUAAGACACCAUAAUGGCGGCUUGGCAAGUUAAAAUGAGGCUCCCUAAAGAAGGACCUUCCAUCGCCGGUGAUUCCCCUCUCCUUCCUCGCCGUUAUCUUUCCCGUCCCGGUUAUAGUUCUGGGCAGUGGUACCUAGGUUUAGGUUUAACAUUAGGCGAAAUCACCCGAGUUCAUUUAGUGAUUGACUCGGGGAAGGCGGAGUUGACCUAUAUUCAUGCCGACGUUUGCUUGGGAUCUAGUUACAAGACUGCAACUUAACUAUUUAGUAUCAGUUGGUGAUUUUUGGGAGAGCAAGAGAAGAUCUGAUUUGUAAGCACCUUUGGUAAAGAAAUUAAUAACAGGUAUUUUAACACAUGUUCGCUCAAUCCAAUUAUACUAGACAUGUGUGGUGGCAUUAUGAGUUAUUGAGCUGUUAUUUGCUGUCCCACUUGGCUUCAUUAUGCAUGGUGGUAUGUCUAUGUGCUUGCUUUGUGGUGAUCUAUAAAGGAAGCUCUUUAUACUUGGUUUAUGUUGUUAUAUUGUAUGGUCCAUUUUUCCCCGAACAGUAUUAGUUGUCUUGAAUUAGCUGACCUGAUAUUCUCAGGCUUGUAGAGUGUACAUGAUUGCGUAUGAAAAAAAGGUGUUAUUGUUGGUGAAUACGAUUAGAAUAUAUGUAGACGAAAAGAAAUUCAAACAGCCUUUAUCAUACUGCAUCGCAGUUGUAUUUCCAUGUUACUGAAAGGGGCUUUUUCUUUCUAAGACUCCAUAAUGACGGCUUGACAAGAUAGAAGGAGGUGCCAGAGAGUCCUUUGUGAGGAGGCCAUUUUAUCUCACAUGACUUAUCAAAGAUUUUGUCAAUACACGUGACAGUUACUCAGUUAGUAGCUGUAACCAUCAUAAUUCUUCGAUUUCAGACUGAGCUGUUACUCAAAUUCCACAUGUUUUAGCUUGUAUGCGCAACUUGGCUUUGAGCGUCAGCUAUUGAAAUUUACUUGUAGCGCAAGGAAAUUUGUCCCUCAUCUUUUGCUAUUACUAGAAGCUGUGUUGAUUAACCAUAUCAAGUAAAGAAGCAUCAUGAUUCAUGAUCUGGAUGUAUGAUUUCAAUAGUUGACCUACCUUCUCUAGUCAUUUAAUCAAGGUUUGUCGGCUAACUAAUCAUUUUGCAUAAGCCCAGUGUCCAGUUUUUAUUACCUUCUUUUCACGUAGAAAUGUGUUGACUCCAUAGUGCUUGUAGAUAAAUAAUGUGUUGAGUCCAUACGCCCAGUCUUUAUUACCCUACAUACAUUUUUUUAAUGAAAAACUCACCAGUUAAUGUGCGUACCUUGCAAAUAUGCUUCUUGACAGAAGGUUUUGAGCUGGCAAAGUUACAUAAAAACCAACCCCUUGUAUUCCACCUUAUUGUAGCAAACAUACCACUUCUAUUUGCUAGCUGGACGAUUGAAUUGGCAAUUGUGUUUGUUUAAUUGAAAUAUGGAGUCACCAGAAAUUGACAAAACUGAUUUUACAGUAUUUGGUACUAUAUUCCUCCUUUUAAAUUGGCAAUUUUGUUUCUUUAAUUUUAAUACAUGUGUUUCCCCCUUUUUGUACGAUGAGUUUUACACAGAUCGACCUAACUUCUCUUUCAACAUUUUAUCUUCUGCCCAGAACAUGUUAAAAAAAUCUUCCAGUUCCAAAACAUCUGCAGCAUGCUGAUUUUUCAUGUCUUUUCUUUGCUUCUGGCUUCGUUUCGUUCUUUCUUGAUUCCCAGUUGAGAGAGUAAUUGUUUAUUGCCUUUUAAGAAAUGAAAUUGUUGACACGCUUCAACAAGCUACAGUAUGACAUUUUACAUUUUAAAGGUGAUCAUAGUCUAACGGAGAUUAGUUGUCUCUUUUUCUCUGAUGCUGUUAAAGAUGCAUAGUAACACUUGAUUUGAUUUGUGUUGUGUCUAAUUGUAUUGCACAUUUUUCUUCUAGAGUUUUGGAAUCUUCUAUUUUUGUCCUUUGACUCUGGGUGUCUUGUCAAAAUUUUCGAACAACUUUGAUGUUCCCUUUUGAAGGUGGUUAUUGCUUUAUGACAUGCUCCUCUAAAUACUCCCAGUAGCAUAUAUGUUGUGUUGAUUCCAGCGUGUUAGCGUGUUUCUUUUCAACCUUUUGUUUUACAAGAGUCCUGUUAUUUUCCCUUUGUCAAAGCAUAUGUAUUCUUUCCCUAUUUACAUAAAAUCAAUCCACUGUUUUUUUUUCCUAUUGCAAGCUUUUGAUCUUGUUAUUGCUAUUUUGGGGUUCUCUUAUGUAUUUAUGCAAAUCAUGUGUAACCUUAUAUUACAGGGUAAAUUUGAUAUAUGUCAUUUCUAAGUUCAUGGUUUUGAGGAACACCGUUACUAUUUUUUAUAUUUAAAAUAUAACACAAAGAAGUUUGCAUACUUAGAGAUAUACCAUUACACACCAUUUAAGGUCAUUCGAGAGCAAUCAUACCUGUAUUCACUUAGUAUUUUUCAUAGGGACGAAUAUCCAUUCGCUUCUCCAAGCUCAUUACAGACAAUGUCAACUUGAGCAGACUUUGCAUUGCCGGAGUCCCUGAUUUUGGUCUGUGGAGUUUCAACUUGCGUCAACUGAACUUGCCUGAUCUAUUUGUUUGGGUUGUGGCUUAUCUGGUUGGCACUGAAGCAACUGGUAUUUUCAUUGGUUUGGCCCAGGAAAGGCUCAUGUAUGAAAGAAACAACUAUAUAAAUGGGAAAAUUACAAGAUGCAAAAAAUUGUUACCUACCUAGUUAUUCAAUCUUAACAUUUUGUUUCCUUGGUAAAAUUCUCAAGUAACUACAUAGUCAAUUAUAUGAAAGACAUAUUUUUCACUAAAACUAGUCUAAGGCAUGAUUACGAAACAUAUACGAUUAGUUUUUGUCAUUGACCUUCAGAUUAGCUGGAAUUGAGCUUCCACUGCCGUGAUUGGCCUUGAUCCAGUAGAGCUUGUGACACGUGCCAUAAUUGGUGUCGAAUUAUUUGUUGUUGCGUGGUGUUUUUCUUACUGUCUUUCGUUAGAGAUUCUUGGUGUCAGGAUGGGUGAGUGAACCACCAACACCGUCACCAACUCCAAUAUUUGUAGUAGUAUACUAUAGAUGGAAAUUAUGCCAAAGAAAGAAGCCUGACAUACUGUUCUUCACUUUUGCGGCGGAUGGAGGGAAGCAAUAGAUGCAGCAAGGUGGCACCUUAAUUCAUGGACAACUCUCCAUAUUGAUAUUGUUGAGUGAUCUAUUUGAAGGACAAUGAAGGAUUUUCUUUAUACAAUGUGCAUCUAUCAGGUCACUUACGUUACUCUCAUUUGAAUCAUCUGAUAGCCAACUUCGCAAUAGUGCACAUACAUACGCGCUUGCUGAAUUUGAUGCACUCUCUAGGUAAUUUAUCACAACCAACGUUCACAAGGCAGUGUUCUGUUCAUUUAUUGCACUUCGAUUAACAACAUAUAGCAUGAUAAACUAGACAGUUCUUUUUAGUUCCUUUGAUAAGAAAACAAGUAGCAUCGGAAACUUCCUUUGCCUAUUCAAAGUUUCAAACACAAAACCGACAAAGCAGUGUGUUGUUUAUGACAGUGGCAUCGAGUGCACAUAUGAUGGCACUGUAAUUCUAUAAUGCUCCCUGGAGCUACAUAUGUACAUUAUGUUAAUAGAGGGUUGCUUCACAAGUCACAAAAUUUAGGACCACUUAUAUUAUCUCAUUUUUCAAGAACUAAACUGUGAAGUUUCAUGGAACGCUACACAGAAUCCAUCUUCUCUUGCUAAAAAUGGAGAACAAUAUCUUGGGUUCUUGGUAUUAUGUUUUAUAUGGACCUCCAGAGGUGUUCACAAAUGGCUUUGCUCCAACCCGUGAAACAGUCAGUACAAAAGUUUAAUCUAGCAUUUCUACUGCCGUCACAUUUAAUAAAAAGAAAUAGAACUAGCGCAUUGCAGCCAGUUUCGGCCACUUUGACUCAAACCUGUACCUGAAUGCUGCCCCUAUCAAGUUCCAACCGCAACACGGCAAAGGAAAUAAAACAGAUCUUUGACAUUACCCUACUAAACAGAACAAAGCACUGGCAUGCACUUACCCAAACAGCCAUGCCGAAAAUAUAAAUAUAUAACCUAAAUUAUAUUUGCCAGACUUAGUUCAUCAGCCUUAUGGAUUUUGAAUUGAUUUUCAUAAUUAAUUGAUUUAGCAAGUAGGUCCCAUGUCCAAAAUAUUUAGCACAACUCAAACUUUAGGUUGCUCUGUAGACAAUGUCAGGAUUGAUCUUAUGAAGGACCAAACCACUUUCUUCAUCAGGCAUACUUCAUUAACAUGGAAAUACAACUUCAGCAGUAUGAUGGGUAAUGCUGAUUUUUAGUAUUUCUCUACCAACUAGCUGGGGCAAACAAAUCCUGACAUUUUCUACAGAGCCAUCAUACGGCCAAAAUAGAAAUAUUUAAUUGUACUCUGAACUCACAACUUUAACUGAAAAACCUGCGGAGAGUAUUUUGUCUUCUUAAGAUUCAUGCAAAUUCAAAAUAUUAUCUUUCAGGUGGUAGAAGUGAGUAACCAUCACCAAUUACAUCAUCAGGAAGAAGCCAAACAUGGCGGUGCUCCGAAAAUACAAACAAACUGACAUCGUUCAAAUUCCAGCAACAGCUGCGGCGACUUCUUCGAAGGGAUUUUGCAAGGCAGAUAGGUUCAAAUGACAUGAGCUGGGUUGAUGAAAGUCUGUCCAUUCCUGUAAAAAAAAAAGUGGCCACAGCAGUUUAGUGGUAAGAUGAACUCUUACUCAGAUACAGGAAACUACCAUAAGUACUGUUAAAUAGGCAGUAGCACUUCAAAUAAAAUGCAGUAUCCAGAAGAGACAAUAUGCAAUAGUCAGGAAUGGAGUACUCCCUCCGACCCAUAUUACUCGCCAGUAAAAUGGAUCUAUCUACAAUUAAAAUGUAUCUAGAUACAUCUACAUUAGUGUCAAGUAAUAUGAAUUGGAGUACCAUUUUUCUAUUUAACUAAAAUGGGGCAGCACAUGCCCUUUUUAAAGUAAAAAUACAAGUAGGUUGUAGCACUUGAAUUUCAGCGGGCGAAAACAUAGCAUCUGGUGAUGUCAGGAUUAAUGAGGACCUAGAUAUGCUUACUCUACAAUAGCAAGAUGUUCUAACGGUUGUUAGACUUGUGUUCUGACAAGGAGGAAAAAGAGCUAGGGUUGGUGGUGCCAGAAUUUUGAAGAAACGGUGUCAGAUUAUGUAACCAAUGCACUUAUUAAGGGGUUGACUAUUUUCCACAACCACUUGAGAUAUACUGUACAUGUGUUCGUUAGAAGUUCUGUUUUGGAUUUGCUAUUUCCACUUGAGUAGACUAUCUACAAUUUCUGGAUAAAUGCUAUUUUGUACAGAGAUAUGCAGGAGAGGCAGUAUGGCUCAGAGGGCUAUUUUAUAGCUGCA